CAACAGCUCAAAUUUGAAAUCUGGCCCCGGCGGGGUCCGAGUUGUAAUUUGUAGAGGGUGUUUCGGGCGCGAUGCCGGUCUAAGUUCCUUGGAACAGGACGUCGUAGAGGGUGAGAAUCCCGUAUGCGACCGGCGAUCAAGCCCGUGCGAAGCCCCUUCGACGAGUCGAGUUGUUUGGGAAUGCAGCUCAAAACGGGUGGUAAAUUUCAUCUAAAGCUAAAUACCGGCCAGAGACCGAUAGCGGACAAGUAGAGUGAUCGAAAGAUGAAAAGCACUUUGGAAAGAGAGUCAAACAGUACGUGAAAUUGUUGAAAGGGAAGCGCUUGCGAUCAGACCGGUCCGCCGGCGAUCAGCCGCUGCUCGUCAGCGGUGCACUCGCCGGCGAUCCGGCCAGCAUCGGUUUGGGCGGCGGGACAAAAGCCCCGGGAACGUAGCUUCCCUCGGGGAGUCUUAUAGCCCGGGGCGCCAUGCCGCCCGCCCGGACCGAGGACCGCGCUUCGGCUAGGAUGCUGGCGUAAUGGUCGCAAGCG
This 530-nucleotide ribosomal RNA is filed under the name Sticta sp. RL-2013t. RNAcentral describes it as "eukaryotic LSU rRNA". It matches the Rfam family "Eukaryotic large subunit ribosomal RNA", at positions 102 to 646 of the family's 3401-position model. Lineage: Eukaryota; Fungi; Ascomycota; Lecanoromycetes; Peltigerales; Lobariaceae. The record is from RNAcentral.